Molecule: ribosomal RNA, 1313 nt
Filed under: Staphylococcus aureus
Lineage: Bacteria; Bacillati; Bacillota; Bacilli; Caryophanales; Staphylococcaceae
Description: bacterial SSU rRNA
Rfam family: Bacterial small subunit ribosomal RNA
Source: RNAcentral
AAGACGGUCUUGCUGUCACUUAUAGAUGGAUCCGCGCUGCAUUAGCUAGUUGGUAAGGUAACGGCUUACCAAGGCAACGAUGCAUAGCCGACCUGAGAGGGUGAUCGGCCACACUGGAACUGAGACACGGUCCAGACUCCUACGGGAGGCAGCAGUAGGGAAUCUUCCGCAAUGGGCGAAAGCCUGACGGAGCAACGCCGCGUGAGUGAUGAAGGUCUUCGGAUCGUAAAACUCUGUUAUUAGGGAAGAACAUAUGUGUAAGUAACUGUGCACAUCUUGACGGUACCUAAUCAGAAAGCCACGGCUAACUACGUGCCAGCAGCCGCGGUAAUACGUAGGUGGCAAGCGUUAUCCGGAAUUAUUGGGCGUAAAGCGCGCGUAGGCGGUUUUUUAAGUCUGAUGUGAAAGCCCACGGCUCAACCGUGGAGGGUCAUUGGAAACUGGAAAACUUGAGUGCAGAAGAGGAAAGUGGAAUUCCAUGUGUAGCGGUGAAAUGCGCAGAGAUAUGGAGGAACACCAGUGGCGAAGGCGACUUUCUGGUCUGUAACUGACGCUGAUGUGCGAAAGCGUGGGGAUCAAACAGGAUUAGAUACCCUGGUAGUCCACGCCGUAAACGAUGAGUGCUAAGUGUUAGGGGGUUUCCGCCCCUUAGUGCUGCAGCUAACGCAUUAAGCACUCCGCCUGGGGAGUACGACCGCAAGGUUGAAACUCAAAGGAAUUGACGGGGACCCGCACAAGCGGUGGAGCAUGUGGUUUAAUUCGAAGCAACGCGAAGAACCUUACCAAAUCUUGACAUCCUUUGACAACUCUAGAGAUAGAGCCUUCCCCUUCGGGGGACAAAGUGACAGGUGGUGCAUGGUUGUCGUCAGCUCGUGUCGUGAGAUGUUGGGUUAAGUCCCGCAACGAGCGCAACCCUUAAGCUUAGUUGCCAUCAUUAAGUUGGGCACUCUAAGUUGACUGCCGGUGACAAACCGGAGGAAGGUGGGGAUGACGUCAAAUCAUCAUGCCCCUUAUGAUUUGGGCUACACACGUGCUACAAUGGACAAUACAAAGGGCAGCGAAACCGCGAGGUCAAGCAAAUCCCAUAAAGUUGUUCUCAGUUCGGAUUGUAGUCUGCAACUCGACUACAUGAAGCUGGAAUCGCUAGUAAUCGUAGAUCAGCAUGCUACGGUGAAUACGUUCCCGGGUCUUGUACACACCGCCCGUCACACCACGAGAGUUUGUAACACCCGAAGCCGGUGGAGUAACCUUUUAGGAGCUAGCCGUCGAAGGUGGGACAAAUGAUUGGGGUGAAGUCGUAACAAGGUAGCCGU